This 712-nucleotide ribosomal RNA is filed under the name uncultured bacterium. RNAcentral describes it as "bacterial SSU rRNA". It matches the Rfam family "Bacterial small subunit ribosomal RNA", at positions 19 to 722 of the family's 1533-position model. The record is from RNAcentral.
CUGGCUCAUGAUGAACGCUAGCGAUAGGCCGUAACACAUGCAAGUCGAGGGGCAGCAUAGGGUAGCAAUACUUUGAUGGCGACCGGCGCACGGGUGAGUAACGCGUAUGCAACCUACCUAUAACAGGGGCAUAACCCGGAGAAAUUCGGACUAAUACCGCAUAAAACAGGGGCUCCGCAUGGAGAUAUUUGUUAAAGAUUUAUCGGUUAUAGAUGGGCAUGCGUUCCAUUAGCCAGUUGGUGAGGUAACGGCUCACCAAAGCAACGAUGGAUAGGGGAACUGAGAGGUUUGUCCCCCACACUGGAACUGAGACACGGACCAGACUCCUACGGGAGGCAGCAGUGAGGAAUAUUGGUCAAUGGGCGAGCGCCUGAACCAGCCAAAUCGCGUGAAGGAAGACUGCCUUAUGGGUUGUAAACUUCUUUUAUACAGGAAUAAAAAGAGUUACGUGUAACUUAUUGCAUGUACUGUAUGAAUAAGCAUCGGCUAACUCCGUGCCAGCAGCCGCGGUAAUACGGAGGAUGCGAGCGUUAUCCGGAUUUAUUGGGUUUAAAGGGUGCGCAGGCGGGAACUUAAGUCAGCGGUGAAAUCUCGACGCUUAACGUCGAAACUGCCGUUGAAACUGGGUUUCUUGAGUAUAGAUGAAGUAGGCGGAAUUCGUUGUGUAGCGGUGACAUGCUUAGAUAUAACGAGGAACUCCGAUUGCGUAGGC